This 666-nucleotide ribosomal RNA is filed under the name Triticum aestivum (bread wheat). RNAcentral describes it as "partial small subunit ribosomal RNA". Lineage: Eukaryota; Viridiplantae; Streptophyta; Magnoliopsida; Poales; Poaceae. The record is from RNAcentral.
AUGGAGGGAUCUAUGAACAUUUCGGAUGUGCCAGAUGAUGACCUUUUUGAUUCCGAAAACCGUGUCAUCCAAGAUAGAUAUCAACAUUCUGGCGAACCAAUCAGCCGACACUUCAACAAAGUUUUAGAUGCCAUAAAUGGUUUGCGUGAUGUUUGCAUAACAGAUCCAAACAAUCAAGUCCCAUCAAAAAUAUUGGGUGACGCAAGGUUCUACCCAUAUUUCAAGAACUGCCUAGGAGCAAUUGACGGGACACAUAUUGAGGCAAAAGUCAGGCUUGAUAAGCAAACUCCUUAUAGAAACAGACAUGGUUAUCUGUCUCAACACGUAAUGGCAGUAGUGUCAUUUGACAUGACAUUCUCUUAUGUCGCUGCUGGAUGGGAGGGUUCUGCAUCUGAUCAAGUUGUUCUAAGAUGGGCUGUUACUAGUGGGGGUUUAGUUGUUCCUGAAGGUAAAUCGAGCUUUAUGAGCAUGGGGAAACAGAACAAAAUACUGACCAUGGUGAUCAACAAGUUCAUGGGCAAGCAAGAGAAGAUGAUAGAGUUGCUGGUGAGAGAGUUCGUGGUGCCAUCGCCCGAGAGUUGUGGACUAAACAUCAACAACGCUUAUGAGCUCUAUCCCUCUCUCACCCUCUCCAUCUCCCUCUCUCUAUCUGCAGCUACACGAUGA